Molecule: ribosomal RNA, 855 nt
Filed under: marine metagenome
Description: bacterial SSU rRNA
Rfam family: Bacterial small subunit ribosomal RNA
Source: RNAcentral
AGAGUUUGAUCAUGGCUCAGAACGUACGCUGGCGGCACGCCUAACACAUGCAAGUCGAACGAAGUAGCAAUACUUAGUGGCAGACGGGUGAGUAACAUGUAGGUAUCUACCCUUUGGCCUGGAAUAACACGAGGAAACUUGUGCUAAUACCGGAUAAGUCUUUACGGAGAAAGCUUUAUGCACCAUUGGAUGAGCCUGCACUUGAUUAGUUUGUUGGUGGGGUAAUGGCCUACCAAGACUGUGAUCAAUAGCUGAUUUGAGAGGAUGAUCAGCCACAUUGGGACUGAGACACGGCCCAAACUCCUACGGGAGGCAGCAGUGGGGAAUCUUGCACAAUGGAGGAAACUCUGAUGCAGCGAUGCCGCGUGAGUGAAGAAGGCCCUUGGGUUGUAAAGCUCUUUCGUCGGGGAAGAAAAUGACUGUACCCGAAUAAGAAGGUCCGGCUAACUUCGUGCCAGCAGCCGCGGUAAUACGAAGGGACCUAGCGUAGUUCGGAAUUACUGGGCUUAAAGAGUUCGUAGGUGGUUGAAAAAGUUGGUGGUGAAAUCCCAGAGCUUAACUCUGGAACUGCCAUCAAAACUUUUCAGCUAGAGUAUGAUAGAGGAAAGCAGAAUUUCUAGUGUAGAGGUGAAAUUCGUAGAUAUUAGAAAGAAUACCAAUUGCGAAGGCAGCUUUCUGGAUCAUUACUGACACUGAGGAACGAAAGCAUGGGUAGCGAAGAGGAUUAGAUACCCUCGUAGUCCAUGCCGUAAACGAUGUGUGUUAGACGUUGGAAAUUUAUUUUCAGUGUCGCAGCGAAAGCGAUAAACACACCGCCUGGGGAGUACGACCGCAAGGUUAAAACUCAAAUGAAUU